GAUGAACGCUGGCGGCGUGCCUAACACAUGCAAGUCGAACGGAAAGACACUGAGAUUGUGCCUUUCUCGUUGGCGGGAGGCGGGCGGGUGACGAGUGUAUCGUACUCUUCUCUUUCGGGGAGCAUAACGUAAGUAAGGCUACUAUAAUAUAGCAUAUCAUGCACCGGGGAAGGCAGUGGAUAGUCGCGGCUUUCGCGUUUGAACUAGCUGGUUCCGAAUUAGCUGGUUGGGUUGGUAAAGGCCCACCAUGGCGAGGAUACGUUGCUGGUCUGAGAGGAUGGUCGGCCACACUGGAACUGAGACACGGUCCAGACUCCUACGGGAGGCAGCAGUGGGGAAUGUUGGGCAAUGGGCGGAAGCCUGACACAGCCAGACCGCGUGGGUGAAGAAGGCCUUCGGGGCGUAAAGCCCUUUUUUUGGGAAAGAACAGCUGCAGAUUAAUACCACGCUGUUCUGACGGUACCCAAUAAAGAAGCACCGGCUAACUACGUG
This 492-nucleotide ribosomal RNA is filed under the name uncultured bacterium. RNAcentral describes it as "partial 16S ribosomal RNA". It matches the Rfam family "Bacterial small subunit ribosomal RNA", at positions 28 to 507 of the family's 1533-position model. The record is from RNAcentral.